Molecule: ribosomal RNA, 1004 nt
Filed under: Virgibacillus proomii
Lineage: Bacteria; Bacillati; Bacillota; Bacilli; Caryophanales; Bacillaceae
Description: bacterial SSU rRNA
Rfam family: Bacterial small subunit ribosomal RNA
Source: RNAcentral
UGCAGUCGAGCGCGGGAAGCAAGCAGAACCCCUUCGGGGGUGACGCAUGUGGAACGAGCGGCGGACGGGUGAGUAACACGUGGGCAACCUGCCUGUAAGACUGGGAUAACUCCGGGAAACCGGGGCUAAUACCGGAUAAUACGUUUUCUUGCAUAAGGAGACGUUAAAAGGCGGCGUAAGCUGUCACUUACAGAUGGGCCCGCGGCGCAUUAGCUAGUUGGUGGGGUAAAAGCCUACCAAGGCGACGAUGCGUAGCCGACCUGAGAGGGUGAUCGGCCACACUGGGACUGAGACACGGCCCAGACUCCUACGGGAGGCAGCAGUAGGGAAUCUUCCGCAAUGGACGAAAGUCUGACGGAGCAACGCCGCGUGAGUGAAGAAGGUUUUCGGAUCGUAAAACUCUGUUGUUAGGGAAGAACAAGUGCCGUUCAAAUAGGGCGGCACCAUGACGGUACCUAACCAGAAAGCCCCGGCUAACUACGUGCCAGCAGCCGCGGUAAUACGUAGGGGGCAAGCGUUGUCCGGAAUUAUUGGGCGUAAAGCGCGCGCAGGCGGUCUUUUAAGUCUGAUGUGAAAGCCCACGGCUUAACCGUGGAGGGCCAUUGGAAACUGGAGGACUUGAGUACAGAAGAGGAGAGUGGAAUUCCACGUGUAGCGGUGAAAUGCGUAGAGAUGUGGAGGAACACCAGUGGCGAAGGCGACUCUCUGGUCUGUAACUGACGCUGAGGUGCGAAAGCGUGGGUAGCGAACAGGAUUAGAUACCCUGGUAGUCCACGCCGUAAACGAUGAGUGCUAGGUGUUAGGGGGUUUCCGCCCCUUAGUGCUGCAGUUAACGCAUUAAGCACUCCGCCUGGGGAGUACGGGCCGCAAGGCUGAAACUCAAAAGAAUUGACGGGGACUUCGCACAAGCGGUGGAGCAUGUGGUUUAAUUCGAAGCAACGCGAAGAAUCUUACCAGGUCUUGACAUCCUCUGACGGCCCUAGAGAUAGGGAGUUCCCUUCGGG